RNAcentral lists this ribosomal RNA (253 nucleotides) under uncultured bacterium. RNAcentral's name for it is "partial 16S ribosomal RNA". It matches the Rfam family "Bacterial small subunit ribosomal RNA", at positions 524 to 776 of the family's 1533-position model. The record is from RNAcentral.
GACAGAGGAUGCAAGCGUUAUCCGGAAUGAUUGGGCGUAAAGCGUCCGCAGGUGGCUGUGUAAGUCUGCUGUUAAAUAGUGAGGCUCAACCUCAUAAAGGCAGUGGAAACUACACGGCUAGAGUGCGUUCGGGGCAGAGGGAAUUCCUGGUGUAGCGGUGAAAUGCGUAGAGAUCAGGAAGAACACCGGUGGCGAAAGCGCUCUGCUAGGCCGCAACUGACACUGAGGGACGAAAGCUAGGGGAGCGAAUGGG